This is a long non-coding RNA of Cydia splendana, 496 nucleotides long. RefSeq lists it as uncharacterized. The transcript has 2 exons. The record is from RefSeq and is a predicted model, not a curated record. Lineage: Eukaryota; Metazoa; Arthropoda; Insecta; Lepidoptera; Tortricidae.
AUAAAGAAAUCUAUACGUAUUCUCAUUAUAUAAUUGUUUACAAUAUUUCUUAAAUUAUUUAAAUGUUAGCGAUUUUAAAGUCUGAAGAGGGAUGAUAAUACACAGAACCUAUUUUAUUAUGAGUGCGCUGUUCUCUCUUAAAUACAUGUUUGUGUAUCGACAGAAGUAUAAAAUCGGGAAUUUUGUCAGGAGCUAUUUCGAUCAGACUUUCUAAUGGGGAACUGUAUGCGGAGUGUUUGUUUUAAUUGUCAGAAGUGUUUCGGACCGUACUGUUGUGGUGAAAAGUGUAUUAACAUCCGCCAGUGGUGUCGCUGGAUCUGGUGUAAUUGCUGCUGUAAUCGCUCCGCGUGUUGUGACAAAAGACAGACGACUGUCGACGACGUCGAUUACACAGCGGUAAAAAGACGAAGAAAGCCGAAGCGGAGCGGAGAACCGGCGCUUAGAAUCGAGGGGUAGAUUUAAUGUGGUAAUUUAAUAUAUUCUUUUAAUUAAAUUA